Molecule: ribosomal RNA, 1047 nt
Filed under: uncultured crenarchaeote
Lineage: Archaea; Thermoproteati; Thermoproteota
Description: bacterial SSU rRNA
Rfam family: Archaeal small subunit ribosomal RNA
Source: RNAcentral
ACUAGUGAUUGGUACGCGGCGCAGCAGGCGCGAAACCUCCUCAAUGCACUAACGUGCGAAGGGGUUACCUCGAGUGCUACCUGAAGAAGGUGGCUUUUCCUUGGUCUAAAAAGCCUCGGGAAUAAGAGGGGGGCAAGACUGGUGUCAGCCGCCGCGGUAACACCAGCCCCUCGAGUGGUGGGGAUGAUUAUUUGGCCUAAAGCGUCCGUAGCCGGCCGGGUAAGUUUCCCGUUAAAUCCAACGUCUCAAGCGUUGGACUGCGGGAAAUACUGUCUGGCUAGAGAGUGGGAGAGGUGUACGGUAUUCUGGGGGUAGGGGCGAAAUCCUUUGAUCCCCGGAGGACCACCAGUGGCGAAGGCUGUACACUAGAACACGUCUGACGGUCAGGGACGAAAGCUGGGGUAGCGAACCGGAUUAGAUACCCGGGUAGUCCCAGCUGUAAACGAUGCAUGCUAGGUGUUGGGUUGGCCACGAGCCACCCCAGUGCCGCAGGGAAGCCGUUAAGCAUGCCGCCUGGGAAGUACGAUCGCAAGAUUGAAACUUAAAGGAAUUGGCGGGGGAGCACCACCAGGCGUGAAGCCUGCGGUUUAAUUGGAGUCAACGCCGGGAACCUUACCGGAAGCGACAGCAGAGUGAAGGCCAGAUUGAAGAUCUUGCCAGACGAGCUGAGAGGAGGUGCAUGGCCGUCGCCAGUUCGUGCCGUGAGGUGUUCUCUUAAGUGAGAUAACGAACGAGACCCGCGCCACAUGUUGCCAUCAGAAUCUAAAGGAUUGCUGGGCACUCUUGUGGGACCGCAGCCGAUAAGGCUGAGGAAGGGGCGGGCAACGGCAGGUCAGUAUGCCCCGAAUCUUCCGGGCCACACGCGGGCUGCAAUGGUAUGGACAGAGGGCUGCCACCCCGAGAGGGGGAGCCAAUCCCUAAACCAUACCUCAGUUGGGAUUGAGGGCUGCAACCCGCCCUCAUGAACAUGGAAUGCCUAGUAACUGCCAGUCAUCAUCUGGCGGUGAAUACGUCCCUGCUCCUUGCACGAAUUCGCCGAAUCCCGCG